Molecule: long non-coding RNA, 235 nt
Filed under: Gallus gallus (chicken)
Lineage: Eukaryota; Metazoa; Chordata; Aves; Galliformes; Phasianidae
Source: RNAcentral
CCCAUUUGUACUGUGGUGUUGAGUACAUGUCUGCUUUGGCUGGACCAUUCUCUAAUGGCAGUGAGGGGUGGAUGGUGUGAUAGUCAGCAGGAUUCCCGUUCACUGUUACCAGCAGAACUUUUCUCUCAUCAGUUGUAUAGUGGCUUGCGUACCACAGACUGCGUCUUCUCUCUGCUGUCAUUGGAAUUGGGCUGCAGGGUAUCUCUUUGUCAUCUUCCCUGCUCUCAGAUUUCUC